UCCAGACUCCUACGGGAGGCAGCAGUGAGGAAUAUUGGUCAAUGGGCUUACGCCUGAACCAGCCAAGUCGCGUGAGGGAAGACUGCCCUAUGGGUUGUAAACCUCUUUUGUCAGGGAGCAACGCCGGCUACGUGUAGCCGGACUGAGAGUACCUGAAGAAAAAGCAUCGGCUAACUCCGUGCCAGCAGCCGCGGUAAUACGGAGGAUGCGAGCGUUAUCCGGAUUUAUUGGGUUUAAAGGGUGCGUAGGCGGAAUGCCAAGUCAGCGGUAAAAUCGCGGGGCUCAACCUCGCUCCGCCGUUGAAACUGGCGCUCUUGAGUGGGCGAGAAGUAUGCGGAAUGCGUGGUGUAGCGGUGAAAUGCAUAGAUAUCACGCAGAACUCCGAUCGCGAAGGCAGCCUACCGGCGCGCAACUGACGCUCAUGCACGAAAGCGUGGGUAUCGAACAGGAUUAGAUACCCGCGUACC
RNAcentral lists this ribosomal RNA (467 nucleotides) under uncultured bacterium. RNAcentral describes it as "bacterial SSU rRNA". It matches the Rfam family "Bacterial small subunit ribosomal RNA", at positions 330 to 796 of the family's 1533-position model. The record is from RNAcentral.